This 216-nucleotide long non-coding RNA is filed under the name Lathyrus oleraceus (garden pea). RNAcentral describes it as "Pisum sativum (pea) long non-coding RNA (PSAT_LNC022540)". The record is from RNAcentral. Lineage: Eukaryota; Viridiplantae; Streptophyta; Magnoliopsida; Fabales; Fabaceae.
UUUCUAUCGGUGGCUAGCAUUAACCUGUGCAGAGCAUGAGGAAAACCUAGUUUUAUAGUUGAUGAUUCACAUUUACUUAUGAAGUGAACAAAAUUUGAUCUGAGUUGGAAUUUGACUAUUUUUCUUUUGAAUUGUGUAUUGAAACUGAAAGAUAUGUUUUAUGAUGUAGGCUAGAAGUUAGACUUCAGUCCCCAAGCUAAUAACAUUAUAUGUUUU